RNAcentral lists this long non-coding RNA (4298 nucleotides) under Homo sapiens (human). RNAcentral describes it as "non-protein coding LGALSL-DT:11". Lineage: Eukaryota; Metazoa; Chordata; Mammalia; Primates; Hominidae. The record is from RNAcentral.
GCCGACCUGGCAGGCAGAGCCUGGGAGGAGGGGAGGGGAGGGAGGCAGCGCGAGCUGGGAGGGCGAAGGUGCUUGCCGCGGCCCAGAACGGCCCCGGACCCGGGCCGACGGGGCUGCUUGCUGCCGCUGCCGCUGCCGCUGCCCGACCAAGAAAAGUGGCGAGGGCCGUGCCGCGUCGGCCCUGGGCAGCAUUUAAAGGCCUCCGGGGCCCGGCUCGGGAACCGGGAACAGGGCGGGGACCCGGCGGGGCUGCCGCGGCUUGCUCAGCGGGCCCUGCCCCUCGGCCAUUGGACGGUGGCGGAGGCCGGGGCGGGAGGGACGGGCCUGUCCGGGUCCGGGAGGGCGGGGGCCCUGUCGGCUCUCACCGGCCAGAGGGUGGGCAGGGCCGGGGCUGGAGAAGUGAGGGCCCGAGCCGGUCAGGUGACAGGUGCUCGUGCCACCCGCGCCCCUCCCUCCAGCCUCCUUCCUCCUGCCACGUCCUGGGCGCUGGUGGGGCGAUGGGAGGCGAGGUCGAGGGAAGAUUGGGUGCUGGGGGUGGUAUUCCAGAGUGGGAGACUUGGCAGGAUUUCUUUCAGAGAAUUCCAACAAAAUCGGGGGAAGGAUUCAUUCUGCUCUCUAGGGCAGAAAGAGAAUGGAAGGUCUGAAGGCUUGCAGAAAUAAAUGUGUGACCUGAAAGAACGAAGCAGAGAGGACUCAAGACACUGCAUUUGGGAGCCACCUCUGCUUCCAGAACACUUGUCUCUUCCAAGAGCUGGAUUCAGUAUCAAAAGGAGAAGGUAUGACAUAGCUCCACCUACAUGCAAGGGGAGCCAGGAAGUGCAAUCCCUGGCUGGGCUGCCACGUCUCAGAAACCAUUAAGCCUAUGGAAGGUCUCUGGAUUUGAUGGCAAAUGGCAGCAGAAAUGUGGAAAAGAUCAAAGUGAUGUCAAGGUUGAUCUCUGAGUUUGGCAUGGCUGAACUCAAACAUCAUUUGCCAUGGACCCACAGUGUCUUCAGUAGCUGAGUGUGGUGUCAUUCCCCUAUGAUAUGUGCACUCAAUUGCUGGCCAGUUUUUGUUUUUUGUUUUUGAGAGAGUCUCGCUUUGUCUCCUAGGCUGGAGUGCAGUGGCACGAUCUCGGCUCACUGCAACCUCCGCCUCCCGGGUUCAAGUGAUUUUCCUGCCUCAGCCUCCCGAGUAGCUGAGAUUACAGGCAUGUGCCAGCAGGCCCGGCUAAUUUUUUUUGUAAUUUUAGUAGAGACGGGGUUUUGCCAUGUUGGCCAGGCUGGUCUCGAGCUCCUGGCCUCAAGUGAUCCACCUGCCUCCACCUCCCAAAGUGCUGGGAUUACAGGUGUGAGCCACUGUACCUGGCCCCAAAGUUUUAGAAAUUGGAUCAUUUUAAAUGUUGGAGGGGAGUUCAUUGUUUAGGAUGGCUGUGUGGCAAAUCUUUUUUUAAAGUAAGUAAUUCUCCUCUAUUAUAAGUCACCUCCUGAUCUCUACAUUUAAGGUUUGCUGUCCUGGAUGUGUUCACCUAUGAAUGUAAGUGUGCUGAGAUACACAGUGCAAGGCUGAAGUCAGAGUACACCACUGAUGAACCCCUGGGAACUGGUAACCCAGCCAGGGAAUGAACAUCUUUUAUGAAUCAGUUUAUCCACCAAACACUUGCAGAGAGCCUAUCCCAUGCCACCCCUGAGGGCACGGUGAUGGAGAAGAUAUGCUUCCUGCCUCCAAGAACCCCAUAGUCUAGUGGCAGAGACAAGCAGACUCUGCUUCAUCAUUGCUAAGUUGGAAAGAGCAAGCAAUUGAGAGUCCCUGCUGGCCACAGCUGGGGUGCCCCAGACCACAGCACUGAGCCUCAAAGGCAAGUGAGCAUAGUGUUGGGAGCUGGGCUUCUGGAUCCAUCAACUCCAUCUGAUGACUCGGAAGUUCCUUCAGUUCCCAACACUGGAGUCCAGCAAGGCUGGUUUGUCUUGUUUUAAUUAUUAUUUAGAUGACUGUUUGGCUCAUACCUGAGCAAGGUUCAAAUCAAGUCAGACCUGUUAAUUUAAUCAAAGUUAUAUAAUCACAUUUGGGCACUUAAAUGUAAACCAAUUAUGUUGGAAGCCAAGUAUCUUGUACUCAGGAGGGAGUUCUAAUAAGUGCUGGGAAUGUAUGCUAAUGCACAAAGCCUAACCCCCAGAGUGGAGGGUGGAGCACUCCAGGGCACUCCUGUUUCGGUGACGUUGUUUUAAUAGCUAGUGCUCUGGGUGCAGUCUGGGAAGAUAUUGGAAACAUCUCAAGCAAGUAUGACAUCCAUUUUACCCAAGCCCAUGGAACCCAUUAUGUUUGGAACAUGUCUGUCUGUGGCAUUUGGCUUGGCUUAUAAAUGCACUAUCAGAAUCUAUAGGAGGCCUUCGCAACAAGACGUGUCUUGGCCUUUCUGGUUAUCAGCAAUCCCUCCACCUCUCUCUUAACAAACAUAUGCCAUAAGUCCUGAUCAGGCAUUUAGUUUUUUCACUUGGACCUUUUCCUAGUUCCUAGUCUCAACCCCAAUGCCUCCUAAUCUUGUACUUCUUCAAAUACUGGCCCCCCUCUACUAUGAGAGAGAGAGGAAAGUAGGGAGGAGAAGGAGGAAAAGUUAUUGAGUUGAUAUGAGGGUAGUCAACCUAAAGCAACAAUCAGGAGUAAGGUACUGGACUUGAGUUUGAAGUGUUUGUCACUAAACUCUCUCAAACUCUUCCAGGCUAACUAGCCUCAGAGGGCUUCUAGCCCAUAGUCUCCUUGUAUUUUCUGCCCUCCUCACUUGGAGUGGGAGGGAACCAGAUGUCCAGUCUUUGUCCCGUGUUAAGAACUGGCCUGGCAGGCUUUGUUGAGACCAUCCAGACUUGAAAGCCUCACAACCAGAUGCCAUCACAGGCACUUUCUGCUCUUAACCUUUGUCUGUGUCUCCUACAUGAACUCAUCAGACUGCCUCUGAAGAGGGACAUUCUAGGGACAGUUUCAUCUUCAUCACCAUCCUGGAUAGGGAACCCUUCCAGACUCAGAGUUGCAAAAGUCAGGGAGGGGCUGCUCACUGGAGGUGGAGUCCUUUGGCCAGGUUUCACUGUAAACACAUGGCUAAAAUGUGUCGCACAUGGACAGGCAUGCUAGUGUGCUCUGGAUACAUGCUAGUGUGCCCCAGAUAUAUGCUAGUGUGCCCCGUAUAGCUUCUGGCUAAAGGACACACCUCAGCAAGGCCAAAUGAGGCAUCAGGAUGAACUCUUCAAAUAGACUUCAUUAGACCCACAGAAGACUAACCUUUGCCUGACUUUGGAUUACCCCUUUCUUGCCAGGAAUUAUGUUCAAUGACUAUAUCUGGAACUAGAGGUCUUGAUAGCCACACUUUGCUUGGUGUGGCUUCUCAGUCUUUUAAGGACAUGGCUAUCAAGGGCUCAUGUUUAUUCCAGGUCAGCCCUUUACCCCUUUCCUCCAGGGGCAUCUAUGGCAACAAAAGACCAUGACAUCUGGCAGGGCUGGCAGGACUAUUUAGUUUAGGCAGGAAUGUGGGUGUUAGCAUGUCAGAGUACAUCUGAGAAAACAUUCCAAACCAACCUUUCCACACUGGGAACUCAACCCCCAGGAAUCACCAAAGAUAAGGGCAACAGUCUUAUCUCUCGAGGGAAGUUCAGGGUAAAGUCCACUCCUGCUGUGGACCAGAGCUCAGGGAAGAAGAAAGCUCAGGCUGGCUCUGCCUGUCCACUUGAUGAACUUCCACAAAUGCCACUCUGGGAGCUGAGGCAUAUGAAGUGGGGAAGAAAAUACCAGCCCUGCCCUGGAGCUCUGGGAUGGUGGCUGUACACCCCUAAAGAUGCCAGCAGAUCUGAACUGUGGCCUAUGUGUGUUUGGGAAUUGAGAAAUAAGGAGAUAGAGGGACAGCAGGCAGGAAAAACUACAAUUAGUCUCAGCUCACACAGAUUUGGGAGUAUGCAGAUCUGAAUUGUGGCCUCCAUGUGUUUGGCUGAAGGAUAAUGAUCUCAGGCCCAGACUUUUUUUUUUUUUUGUAUCACUCGCUCAGGGGGCUCUGACCAGGAGCUUCUUUCAGAUGACACAGAUCCCGAGGAGCCACUUGCCUUCUACCCAUGACACUUCUAAGAGUGACUCUUGCCAUGUGACCAUAGAGAUAAGUGAAGUUUUCUCCAAUGACAUCAUUAAGAAGUCUAAACUUCCCCAAAGGGAGAGGCUGUGACUAGGAACACAAAUGUCUCAGUGUAUCACACUCAUGCUCCCAGAUCUGUGGGCAGAAAAAGAAAUCAUAGAAUGGUGCAUAUCCUAAAAAUAAAAAGGAAAUUGCUUUUCAAGUUAUG